Symphalangus syndactylus (siamang) is the source of this 1618-nucleotide long non-coding RNA. RefSeq lists it as uncharacterized. NCBI's taxonomy places the organism in Eukaryota, Metazoa, Chordata, Mammalia, Primates, Hylobatidae. The record is from RefSeq and is a predicted model, not a curated record.
UCGGGAGCCGUAGCUUUAAAAUCAUGCAGGCUUAGUGUACUCUGUUACCUAGCAACAGCCAUAAAUCAACAGAACAUGCUGGAAUGUUAAAGCAAACCUUCCUGGCUGUUAGAUGCGUUGGCCUUUUUUAAUCCAAACAUGCUCAUUUGCCACCACGCCUCGGCUACACCCAGCUUCCAGCCUGCAGCAUACCUGGGUUUGCACAUUUUUUAAACCACCUUAGGGUCUGUCUGAUUUUUCCGCCUGAGUCUUUUGUGCCUUCUUAGCACUCUGGCCAGCACCCAGCGACAGGAUCAGGCAGGCUCUGCUGACGUGGCCGGGGCAGGACCCGUUGGUCUAGCCUGAAUACCUCCGUCUCAGCCCUACAGCCAGGGGUCCAGACCAGCCCUGAAGUAUCUAGAAACACAGGGGACGCCAGAGACCCUGGUUCCUUACCGUAGGUUUCCAAAUCGCCUGUCAACCUGGUCCGCUCGACAGGAACACAGCACCUCCCGCACGCCAGGCCUUGCCCUCAAGAGCUUGCAUCCUACUGGGGCAAGGAGCUGAAUGUAACACCGAAGCACUGGUCUCCAAGACGGAGGGCCACCUGGACCACAUGGGUGCCAGAUGCCCAGAAUACAAGAGGGAAUGACAGAAACCCAGCCCCUAACUCAGACACUCACAGCCCAGGUGGAGGCCAGCAAGCACCCAGGGCGCCAAGCACACGCGGCACGUAGUCCAGCUCAAAGAUGCCAAGGUGCUUUGAAACAGAACUGCUGCCAGGAGGAAGAGGAGGCUCUUGGGCUGGACCUUCCGAGUUUCUCCUGCUGGAUAACCUUUGCAUGGUAUAUGAGUUCCCAGGCUGCCAUUAUAAAUUACCACACAGUCUGUGGCUUAAAACAACAGAAACAUGUCCUCUCACAGUUCUGGAUGCGUCUUACAGGGCUAAAAUCAAAGUGUUGGCAGGGCCGGUGCCUUCCAGAAGCUUCAGGGAGACUCUGUCCCAGGGCCCCCUCCCAGCUCCCCAUGGCUGCACUCCUUGGUGCCCCUUGGCUUGUGGACACAUCACCCCAGUCUCUGCCUCCUCCUCUGCAUCUCCCUAACCCCCCUCUCUAUUCUCUUAUGAGAACACCAGUCAUGGGAUUUAGGACCAGUUACCAGAGAGCAAAACCAGGACAAUCUUGUCUUGAGAUCUUAUUUAAUUACUUCUGCAAAGACUCUUAUUUCCAAAUGUGUCACAUUCACAGUUACUGCAAAUUAGAUCUUGGACAUAUUUUGUGGGGGGACAAAGUUCAGCCCUCUAUUUAUGGAAAGAAAAUCCUAACUUUGAAAGAAACACAUUCAUAGUGUGAAAAUAAUCAGACCAAAGAAUCAUCCCAUCUGGACCCCACCAGCCCUGGCCUCUGAGGAUGGGAUUUACUGAGAGCUGAUCUGUGAAAUGGACACAACAAAGGCUUUGCUUGGACACCCAUCCUUGCAUUUCCAGUGAACGCCCACCUACAAUCAAUAUGUGAUGAAGGGAGGAGGGAAGGGCCAUGUUAGGGGAAGAAGAGCCAAGUCUAGGUGUAAGUUCAUUUGGAAUCAUGGAUAUUCCCUAGGCACCCUCUGUGCAUUAAAGUCUGUGAUAGGCUGGGCACAG